UACGAAGGGGGCUAGCGUUGCUCGGAUUGACUGGGCGUAAAGGGCGCGUAGGCGGUUCGUACAGUCAGACGUGAAAUUCCUGGGCUCAACCUGGGGGCUGCGUUUGAUACGUGCGGACUUGAGUGCGGAAGAGGGUCGUGGAAUUCCCAGUGUAGAGGUGAAAUUCGUAGAUAUUAGGAAGAACACCAGUGGCGAAGGCGGCUCACUGGUCCGGUACUGACGCUGAGGUGCGAAAGCGUGGGGAGCAAACAGG
This 253-nucleotide ribosomal RNA is filed under the name uncultured bacterium. Its description in RNAcentral is "partial 16S ribosomal RNA". It matches the Rfam family "Bacterial small subunit ribosomal RNA", at positions 524 to 776 of the family's 1533-position model. The record is from RNAcentral.